GACCUAAUCAGGAGGCAACAGGCCAUCCUGAUGGGGGAGGGAGGAAGGUUUUCAACUCUCCCAAGGACAAGCUUUCUGGUGUCUAGGAAAGCAUUUCCAGAUUCACUGGCCGUAAAAUAGAGGAAAACAUCUACUGAAUCUGCAGAGACAGACAGGUCACAAGAGGACAGUAGGAACCCAAACCCUCUCUGCAGGAUCUGCUACAUCAGGCGGGGGAAAAGGUGUACAGAGGGGGACACAUGGAAAAACACCUGCAAGGAAGAGCGACCAGAGAGGAUGCUGAGGUGCUGGACUGGCCGGAUGAGGACCCCAAAACUGGAACAGCUGCUCAGCUGAAAGGAGAACUGGGAAUGGAGGACCAGGAACUGCUCUCAGCCUGUGCAAGGAUCCAGUGCGGCCAGCAGCUCCCUAUGGAAACGAAGCAGCGAGGGAACAGGAGCACACUCAGGAGCCAGCCAGCCCCUUGUCUCCUCCACUUGUGUGCCUUCUUGAACAACACCCAGGCAGCCUCCAGUGGCCCUUUUCUUAUCGUCUCACAGGCUAUUGAGAAGUCCAGCCUGGAAAGUACCUUCCAGUGUGUGUCAGGGCUAUUCUGUCCAUGUCUUGUGUAGCAGGACAAACGGAUGAUGGGCUAUAAUAUUUCCUUUACUAAAGGGAAUCCUCACAGAGAUGCUGCAGCAGCUCCUGUACAAGUUAUAUACACCCCAACUGGCAUACUUGGCAUUUCCCCAGCCUUCCCCUCCAAUCCUCAGCCCCCUCGCAUAAUAUUGUGAAUGUUUUUCUGCAGGUUAAGGGAAGCUUCCUGAAACAGCCAGCUUUCUGCUGGGCUUUUUAAUCAGCAAUAAUAGUUGAGAGGAAAAAAAAAAUUAAAAAAUCCUGUCUCUCCUUGUUCAAUGUGACAAGUGUGAAAAAAUUGAAGGUGAUUGUAGCUUGUGCGGAAAGCACUGGAGAGCACUGAGUGAUGCAGGAGCUGCAGCCUCCUGCUCAGGGCUGCCGUGGCUAUGGUCUCUGUACAUGGAUGAUUUCUCCCCCAAAUCCACCCCAGCAAUGGAUGUAAGCUAGAUGUAGGGAGUCUGCUACCACACUGAAGGCAAAAUGAUUUAAAUAAUCCUCUCCCAUUUAUGCAAUUUAAAAUUCAAUAAGGUAAAAAUGAUAAUUAGUAUUUGGUGCAAUCUGAGAGCAAAAUGCCCUACUGCAACAGAGAGGCAGAGUUCCUGAACCACAGCCAUUAAUAACAUCAAUACCAAUUAGGCUCUCUAGGGGACGGUCUGAUAUAGGUAUCAUAAGUAAUAGCUGUGGAGAGAAAACAAGACUGGUAAUGCAAUUACUGCUCAGAUACGCAGUAAAUGCUUUGCAAUCUUCUAAAUUCUGUAGGGCUUAAAUACACCCUGAAGAUCAGAAUUAAGUGUUGGGGAGAGAAAAGCUGCAGAGCAGGGGGGGAGUAAAGGCACAGUGUGUCAUUAAACAGCGGUUAGAGUAUUAAAAACAGACGAGCUGCUUUCCCUGCAGCUCUCAGAGCUUAGAAAAUCAUCUAGUGAAUCACAUUGUAGCUGAUCAGGAUGCAGAUCAAAAAGCUGCAUAUCAUGUAGGGGAUGAAAGGGAAUUUGAUUUGUAGGAUCCUUCACAAGGGGAAGAUGGAGAUGAAAUUGCAGUGAGUAUUUGGGUGUGUCAGUAAAUGUGGCAGGCACUCAUGGGUGCGCAGUGCUGUAGACAGCCCCUAACACUGGCACAGUUGCAGGGAGCCUGUGUGUGAAAGCCUUCAGAUGAAGAUCUCAUGUGAGGCUCAGAUUUUCUCCAUAGACUUAGGAGGUUUGAAAGCACAAGCUCUCUGCUCACUCUGUGUACGUAAAAAAAAAAAAAAAAAAAAAAAAAAAAAAAAAGAUGGAAAUAAACAAAUAAACAAACAACA
This 1909-nucleotide long non-coding RNA is filed under the name Anas platyrhynchos platyrhynchos (common mallard). RNAcentral describes it as "lncRNA (ENSAPLG00000029836.1)". Lineage: Eukaryota; Metazoa; Chordata; Aves; Anseriformes; Anatidae. The record is from RNAcentral.